This is a long non-coding RNA of Octodon degus (degu), 366 nucleotides long. RefSeq lists it as uncharacterized. The transcript is spliced from 3 exons. NCBI's taxonomy places the organism in Eukaryota, Metazoa, Chordata, Mammalia, Rodentia, Octodontidae. The record is from RefSeq and is a predicted model, not a curated record.
CAGAUGCACAAGGCAGGCGACCCAUCCUGGCUGUGAAAGGGAGCAGGGGCUUGGCUGGGUGUGGGCAGGGCCUAGCGCUGCCAUCUCCUGCACUGUUUCCACAAAUGUAACCAGAGGACUUCGGGGAAUCAAAAAUGAAUCAGAGUCAGCUCCAGCUCUCAGGAGUAUGCAGUGUAGUACAAUAGAAGAGAUGUGCAUAGAGAGUGCUCAUGUUGGAGCUCUGUAGAGUUCUCCGGUUUGGAGCUGAAGCACCUUUGGGAUCUCCUGGACCGCCAAACAAACAGCCGAGAGGGCUGAAGCUUCCCUGUCCCUGUACUCUGGAUCAUUCAGAGAUCCAGCCACCUCUGCCAAAGCCCCACCUGUGAC